This 2879-nucleotide ribosomal RNA is filed under the name Triticum aestivum (bread wheat). RNAcentral describes it as "partial small subunit ribosomal RNA". The record is from RNAcentral. Lineage: Eukaryota; Viridiplantae; Streptophyta; Magnoliopsida; Poales; Poaceae.
UUUUAAGUGGCAAAGCACACUUAGCUGGCUUUAAUACUUCCGGCCUAGCCGGGGCGGAGAGCGUACCAUCUGCGAUGAAGACACCAAAGUUAGUUGCGUUAGGGUAGCAGAUAGGCUAGCAGAGGCUCAAGCUUAAGGGAUGAAGGACGGGUUAGUUAGAAAGGUUGCUACGCGAGGACGCGCGGGGAGGAGUUGGGUGGGAAGUUUGGGCGCGGGCGCGGGGUAGGUUUGGAUUUGGGUUUAGGGUCGCGGCGGAGGCGCGUGCCUGGUUGUGACGAGGCGACGCGGGAGCAGCGCGCGCGCCGGGGUUCCCUGCUAGGCAACGGCCGCGGCAGGUCGAAGCUGAAGGACCGCGACUUCGCCCUCGAGCUCCUCGUCCUCCUCCGCCACUAGGGACACCUACGCUGCCUCCCCCCUCCCCUGCUGCUCCAACAAUUGCUCCUUCUACCGCUCUCCCACGGCUUCUCCUAUCCAUCGUCGCCCUCCUCCUGCCCCUCCGUUUACCGCUCCGCCAGCCCCAACGAUCGCUUCGUCCACUAGUCGCAGUCGAGUCGCGCCUCGGAGCCCAAGCACAGAGUCGACACCCAGCUGCGGAGCAGCACCCAACAACGUAACCAGCUUCACUCCGGUUCGAACGAAAGUCCUCUACGCCUGUUUAAGGAAAAACUACUAUAUAUAGUCUAACCUCUACAACACGAACAAGUCCUACUUAGACACCAACUCUUGCUUAAAUUCGAUCAACCCGACGUACCGAACCAACCGAUGUUACAACAUUGAAGGUCUGCCGCGUUACAACCAUUCCACGCACCGAAGUGAAAAUUGUAAUUGAGUCCUCAAAACCUCAGAGAACUCGAACUAAGUAAACCCGAAUGGUAACAGGGACGAUCAGACCAUUCGUGUAUGACAAAUAAACAGCUUCUACACGAACUAUAUCAAAGACUAUGUUAGCACCACGUACUUCUACGUUAGAGAGCACAAGUUGCCAAUUGUGUCCCGUAGACCCCGUGGGUUUUAUACGUUCCUGGACCGCUAGUCUAUCCGCUCAUGUUGUCUAUACCGUCCGCUUCUCGAUCCAGACAAUUCUCUGUUUUAUCGGUCCCUUUCGGGUACCCGGCUUUCGAGGUAUCCUUUUGCGCUCUAGGCCUCCUACUCACCCUUGACGGUUACCUCAUAACUGUGUGCGUGUGCGUUGUGAUCGAUAGAAGGGCGGGAGUCUCUUUCUUCACAACAGGGCGAGCUUUUCAGGUAAGACGUGGGCUCGAGUAUACGAGGGCGUACUUGUCAUUUUAGCUUUUUUUUAGUUUUUCAAAAAACUCUCUUUGUAACUGUUUUCAAGAUUCACGGACGUUUUUAAGUAGUACUUUAGUGUAAGGACAUUCCGCACCGUUUUUUUUGUUUAAGUCACGAAGUUUUACGCAAACUUUCAUCGAAAAAGUCUCAUGACAAAAAAAAAACGGUGCGGAAGAUCCUUACACUAAAGUACUGAUUAAAAACGUUCGUGAAUCUUGAAAACAGUUACAAAGAGAGUUUUUUUUAAACCUCGAAAAAACUUAAAAAAAGCUAAAAUGACAAGUAAAUUCGAGCCCACGUCUAAUCCGCGCAGGACAGGGCGAGAAGAACGAGCCGAUGUCAUCCUAUACAGUCCAAAACAUGAUGAUGUAAUAACCUUCUAGUGCCCAUCCUUUCCUUUAUCAAACCGGUAGAACCCGCACGAAACCGAACCACCCAAUCACUUUUCGCUCAUACAGACGGCUGGAGGCUUCAGGAUUAAGACCAUGUCUUACUGAGUAAACACCGCUCGUCUCGGGACCCGGGACCACUCAAGUAAGAGCACAUUACUACUUCAAAGAAAACUGAAGUGGCUGUGACUUACCGACUUCACAUAUACGCACAUUAGUACAUCACUACAUGAUGGUGACCUCUGACCUAAUCAUGACGAUCUAAUCAUGAGAUCGAAAUCGGUCUUCCAGUUCUAAGGACGAUAUAUGAGGGAGGAAAGGCCAAAUAUUCCGAAUUAAGCUUUUAGAGUGCUUGGUUCUAUCUACCACUCAUCACCUUAUGAAAAACAUCAAACGUUUUCGUAGAUUAAUUACGAGAACAAAAGGAAUUUUUUCAUACAAAUAGUUACGUAAUUAACAUUACGUACGUACGUAUUUAAUGUACGUAACCAGUUAAAAAAGAAUUAUGAACGUACGUUACUAAAUUACGUGGAACUUUAGACUUGUACACUACCCUUUGUUGGUUUAACUCGGCAUAUUUUACUUUUUUGAUUUUAAAACUCUAUUUGGGAUAUUUGGCUUUUCCUCUCUCAUAAAUAUUUUUUUCUUUUUGUCAAACCAAAGACUUUCCCUCCAUACACCGAUGAAGUUGGUGACUAUACUAAAAAGAGAAAGAGAUUUGAUCACUCCGACGCUCCAACUGGCUGAGUGGACAUCCGACAUCGUACAACGCAUCACUGCCGGCUGGACCUCACGUUAAAAUCGUAGGCCGCUGGAUGGGUCAUGCAUAGACGCACACGCACAGGGAUGCUCGUGCAUGAAAAAACAAGGUAAGCGCCCUGACCUAGCUACGUAACGUACUGUCGCAACUGUGUAAAUAGCCGUGGUCAGAGACGACCGGUAUAAAUACCAAGGCUGUAGGCGUUGUCGAGUUGGGUAGUUUCUAGUGAGUAGUAGUGACGAGUCCGUCACGACGACGAGCUCGGCAAGCGACCUAGGUACCGCCAAAAGCGCCUAGGUACCUUAAUGAGCGGCGCAUGGCCACCCUAGGUACCUUAGUGAGAAACACGGUAAAGCGAAAAUUUAGAACGCAGCUCAACGCAAAAAAAACAAUACUAAUCUUUUUCCAGAGUACAUAACUAAACCCGUUUGCCUGUUGCC